Jatropha curcas is the source of this 736-nucleotide non-coding RNA. NCBI's taxonomy places the organism in Eukaryota, Viridiplantae, Streptophyta, Magnoliopsida, Malpighiales, Euphorbiaceae. The record is from RefSeq and is a predicted model, not a curated record.
GUGAACAAAGUUUUGCAUAAUUUUGAUUCUUGUUUUUGAUGUUGGCAGCAACCCUUAUACUAAUAUAUCUGCUUUCUUUUAUUUGCGUGUGAGUGGCUGUCUGGCGAACUUUGGGUGGGUGACUCAGUGAGCUUCAGAUUUUGAGCUGUUUUGUGAUGUUCAAUUUUCUGCUUGAAAAAAGGUGAAUCUUAGCCUCCUUUUAUUUGGCAAUGUUUGCCAUUGUGGUAGUUUAUGAGCUUAAUUAUUAGUCAACUGUAGUAAUUUUAGAUCGUCUUCUUGCAUGCAGAGACUUUGAUUAGUACAAUUAGAAAAUGUAACUCAAUGAGUUAAGCCAUAAAGAUGGGUACAAAAUCUGCUAGAUUGAACAAAAUGGGCACAAGUUGAUUUUGUGGCCCUCGCAAAAUCGAGUACCCAAAGUCAAAUCUGCAUAGAAGACAGACACCCAUUUUAGCCAAACUAAACACCUAAAAGUUCCGCUUCUACCGGUGCUUUUACAGUUAUAACCUUCCCAGUACACUGUAAGUAUCUGUUUUACAGAAUAAAGCCUGCCCCACUUUUUUUUAUUUGAUUUUUUAGUAUGAUAUUAGCUGAAGAUGCAUUUUUCUCCAAUCAAGAGGCAUGUCGAUCACGAUAAUGAGACAUGAUAAAUUUUAUAUUUUAUAUUUUAAUUAUUCUAAUUUAAUUUAAUUAUGAUUAAAAAUAUUUUUAGGAAAGAGAAAAAUAUGUAUUUUGUUAA